CGUAGGGUGCAAGCGUUAAUCGGAAUUACUGGGCGUAAAGCGUGCGCAGGCGGUUGUGCAAGACAGAGGUGAAAUCCCCCGGGCUUAACCUGGGAACUGCCUUUGUGACUGCAUGGCUAGAGUGUGUCAGAGGGGGGUAGAAUUCCACGUGUAGCAGUGAAAUGCGUAGAUAUGUGGAGGAAUACCGAUGGCGAAGGCAGCCCCCUGGGAUAACACUGACGCUCAUGCACGAAAGCGUGGGGAGCAAACAGGAUUAGAUACCCUGGUAGUCCACGCCCUAAACGAUGUCAACUAGUUGUCGGGUCUUAAUUGACUUGGUAACGCAGCUAACGCGUGAAGUUGACCGCCUGGGGAGUACGGUCGCAAGAUUA
This 371-nucleotide ribosomal RNA is filed under the name uncultured organism. RNAcentral describes it as "bacterial SSU rRNA". It matches the Rfam family "Bacterial small subunit ribosomal RNA", at positions 526 to 896 of the family's 1533-position model. The record is from RNAcentral.